This 374-nucleotide ribosomal RNA is filed under the name Burkholderia multivorans. RNAcentral's name for it is "bacterial SSU rRNA". It matches the Rfam family "Bacterial small subunit ribosomal RNA", at positions 1169 to 1533 of the family's 1533-position model. The record is from RNAcentral. Lineage: Bacteria; Pseudomonadati; Pseudomonadota; Betaproteobacteria; Burkholderiales; Burkholderiaceae.
GAAGGUGGGGAUGACGUCAAAUCAUCAUGCCCUUUAUGUCUUGGGCUUCACGCAUGCUACAAUGGCUGGUACAGAGAGAGGCGAACCCGUGAGGGCAAGCGAAUCCCUUAAAGCCAGUCUCAGUUCGGAUCGUAGUCUGCAAUUCGACUACGUGAAGUCGGAGUCGCUAGUAAUCGCAGAUCAGCAACGCUGCGGUGAAUACGUUCCCGGGCCUUGUACACACCGCCCGUCAAGUCACGAAAGUCGGUAACACCCGAAGCCGGUGGCCUAACCGUAAGGAGGGGGCCGUCUAAGGUGGGACUGGUGAUUGGGACUAAGUCGUAACAAGGUAGCCGUACCGGAAGGUGCGGCUGGAUCACCUCCUUUCUAAGGAG